AGUCGGCCUUACUUAGGGAUGUAAAGAAUGAAAGAAUCAAGUUGUAAUAAUUAAUUUAAAUCGGAUUGUAUUUGGAAGUUAAAUGUAAUAAGUAUUUGAGAUGUAAAAAUGUAUGAAUAUGAAUGAAUGUAAUAAUAUAGGAUGUGUUUAUGUUGUUUGAUACCUUCCAUUAUGCAAUCUUGAUUGAAAUGUGUUCCUGGUUGGAACUUCGCACAUUGUAUUGAUUGCUAUGCCUUGAACGUACAGGGGAGACUCUGUCCGCAGUACAGGGGAAACCCUGUCCGUUCGGCGAUCUGUUGCGAUGCCGCGACCCGGCCAAAUAGGCGGGCGGUCGCGGGGCGUGACAGUGGAGGAGCUCGGGUAGAGUGUUUCGUCGUCGAUGCCGUGUCGCGGAGCCGUUCGAGCGCGCGUUUGUUGCCGUUG
This 423-nucleotide long non-coding RNA is filed under the name Ananas comosus (pineapple). RNAcentral describes it as "long non-coding RNA (ACOM_LNC041561)". Lineage: Eukaryota; Viridiplantae; Streptophyta; Magnoliopsida; Poales; Bromeliaceae. The record is from RNAcentral.